UACGUAGGGUGCUAGCGUUGUCCGGAAUUAUUGGGCGUAAAGAGCUCGUAGGCGGUGUGUCGCGUCGGCCGUGAAAACCUGCAGCUUAACUGUGGGCUUGCGGUCGAUACGGGCAUCACUGGAGUUCGGCAGGGGAGACUGGAAUUCCUGGUGUAGCGGUGAAAUGCGCAGAUAUCAGGAGGAACACCGGUGGCGAAGGCGGGUCUCUGGGCCGAUACUGACGCUGAGGAGCGAAAGCGUGGGGAGCGAACAGG
Molecule: ribosomal RNA, 254 nt
Filed under: uncultured bacterium
Lineage: Bacteria
Description: partial 16S ribosomal RNA
Rfam family: Bacterial small subunit ribosomal RNA
Source: RNAcentral